GCAUUGCUGAGGAGUUCCACAAUAGGACGAAACGGCCGUCCAAUGC
Non-coding RNA from Schistosoma mansoni, 46 nucleotides. The record is from Rfam. NCBI's taxonomy places the organism in Eukaryota, Metazoa, Platyhelminthes, Trematoda, Strigeidida, Schistosomatidae.